Molecule: ribosomal RNA, 446 nt
Filed under: uncultured bacterium
Lineage: Bacteria
Description: bacterial SSU rRNA
Rfam family: Bacterial small subunit ribosomal RNA
Source: RNAcentral
GACCAGACUCCUACGGGAGGCAGCAGUGGGGAAUAUUGCACAAUGGGGGAAACCCUGAUGCAGCGACGCCGCGUGAGCGAUGAAGUAUUUCGGUAUGUAAAGCUCUAUCAGCAGGGAAGAAAAUGACGGUACCUGACUAAGAAGCCCCGGCUAACUACGUGCCAGCAGCCGCGGUAAUACGUAGGGGGCAAGCGUUAUCCGGAUUUACUGGGUGUAAAGGGAGCGUAGACGGCUGUGCAAGCCAGAUGUGAAAGCCCGGGGCUCAACCCCGGGACUGCAUUUGGAACUGUGUGGCUGGAGUGUCGGAGAGGCAGGCGGAAUUCCUAGUGUAGCGGUGAAAUGCGUAGAUAUUAGGAGGAACACCAGUGGCGAAGGCGGCCUGCUGGACGAUGACUGACGUUGAGGCUCGAAAGCGUGGGGAGCAAACAGGAUUAGAUACCCGCGUA